This 24-nucleotide transfer RNA is filed under the name Physalaemus cuvieri (barker frog). RNAcentral's name for it is "partial tRNA-Val". Lineage: Eukaryota; Metazoa; Chordata; Amphibia; Anura; Leptodactylidae. The record is from RNAcentral.
AUCCGUGAAAACCAGAUCGUUUCG